GGAGAUAUAGCUCAGUGGUCAAGCACCUCUGGUUUUAAACACUGGUAUAAAAAAAAAAAUCACAAGUUCCAUUCUUGUUAUUUCUU
RNAcentral lists this transfer RNA (86 nucleotides) under Ictidomys tridecemlineatus (thirteen-lined ground squirrel). Its description in RNAcentral is "Spermophilus tridecemlineatus (thirteen-lined ground squirrel) tRNA". It matches the Rfam family "tRNA". From Rfam's summary of the family: Transfer RNA (tRNA) molecules are approximately 80 nucleotides in length. Their secondary structure includes four short double-helical elements and three loops (D, anti-codon, and T loops). Further hydrogen bonds mediate the characteristic L-shaped molecular structure. tRNAs have two regions of fundamental functional importance: the anti-codon, which is responsible for specific mRNA codon recognition, and the 3' end, to which the tRNAs corresponding amino acid is attached (by aminoacyl-tRNA synthetases). tRNAs cope with the degeneracy of the genetic code in two manners: having more than one tRNA (with a specific anti-codon) for a particular amino acid; and 'wobble' base-pairing, i.e. permitting non-standard base-pairing at the 3rd anti-codon position. The record is from Rfam by way of RNAcentral. Lineage: Eukaryota; Metazoa; Chordata; Mammalia; Rodentia; Sciuridae.